Transfer RNA from Blumeria graminis f. sp. tritici 96224, 83 nucleotides. It matches the Rfam family "tRNA". Rfam says of the family: Transfer RNA (tRNA) molecules are approximately 80 nucleotides in length. Their secondary structure includes four short double-helical elements and three loops (D, anti-codon, and T loops). Further hydrogen bonds mediate the characteristic L-shaped molecular structure. tRNAs have two regions of fundamental functional importance: the anti-codon, which is responsible for specific mRNA codon recognition, and the 3' end, to which the tRNAs corresponding amino acid is attached (by aminoacyl-tRNA synthetases). tRNAs cope with the degeneracy of the genetic code in two manners: having more than one tRNA (with a specific anti-codon) for a particular amino acid; and 'wobble' base-pairing, i.e. permitting non-standard base-pairing at the 3rd anti-codon position. Lineage: Eukaryota; Fungi; Ascomycota; Leotiomycetes; Helotiales; Erysiphaceae. The record is from Rfam.
GCCCGGGUAGCUCAAUCGGUAGAGCGUGUGGCUCUUAAUUAAUUGUAACCUCAAGGUCGCGGGUUCGAGCCCCGCCUCGGGCU